RNAcentral lists this ribosomal RNA (251 nucleotides) under uncultured bacterium. Its description in RNAcentral is "partial 16S ribosomal RNA". It matches the Rfam family "Bacterial small subunit ribosomal RNA", at positions 109 to 353 of the family's 1533-position model. The record is from RNAcentral.
AGUAACACGUAGGUAACCUGCCCAUGUGCCCGGGAUAACUUCUGGAAACGGAUGCUAAAACCGGAUAGGUAGCAGACAAGCAUUUGACUGCUAUUAAAGUGGCUAAGGCCAUGAACAUGGAUGGACCUGCGGUGCAUUAGCUAGUUGGUGAGGUAACGGCCCACCAAGGCGACGAUGCAUAGCCGGCCUGAGAGGGUGACCGGCCACAUUGGGACUGAGACACGGCCCAAACUCCUACGGGAGGCAGCAUG